Molecule: long non-coding RNA, 330 nt
Organism: Dalotia coriaria
Lineage: Eukaryota; Metazoa; Arthropoda; Insecta; Coleoptera; Staphylinidae
Exons: 3
Source: RefSeq, a predicted model, not a curated record
AUUUACAAUUCUGACUGCUGCAGCUUGUUAGUCUAGACUAGAUAAUUAGUGGAAUGGAUUAAUUGGUUAGACAGAUAAUCAGCAGGUCCGAUUACUGCUAUAAACAUGUUUUAUAAGUGAGAUGAGUGGAUAUUUUAUGCUUAAACAGAGGUGGUGCUUGAAGUUAACUGGCUGAGCAGGAAUCAUAGCAGGAUUAGCAAGUAAAUCAAAGUCUGCGAACAGUGGAAAUGAAUAUAUGAGUUUAUGACAACAGAAGCCUCUUCAAGCCUGUUUAAUUCUUUUUUAUUUGGUAUAAAGUUUGUUUAAUUUGGAUGAAAAUUAACAAAGUUA